UACAGGGGGCGCAAGCGUUGUUCGGAAUUAUUGGGCGUAAAGCGCGUGUAGGCGGCUUGGCAAGUCGGGUGUGAAAUCCCUCAGCUCAACUGAGGAAGUGCGCCCGAAACUGCUUGGCUUGAGUACCGGAGAGGAUGGUGGAAUUCCCGAAGUAGAGGUGAAAUUCGUAGAUAUCGGGAGGAACACCGGCGGCGAAGGCGACCAUCUGGACGGAUACUGACGCUGAGACGCGAAAGCGUGGGUAGCAAACAGG
This 253-nucleotide ribosomal RNA is filed under the name uncultured bacterium. RNAcentral's name for it is "partial 16S ribosomal RNA". It matches the Rfam family "Bacterial small subunit ribosomal RNA", at positions 524 to 776 of the family's 1533-position model. The record is from RNAcentral.